AUGAUCACGACCAAGCUUCAAGUCGAGGAACGGUUAGAAGGUAGAGGAGGUUCGUCGGACACGAGCAGGGAGGAGAGCGCCUGGUCCUCCCUUUGGAAAAUAAAGGUGCCAUCAAAGGUAAAAAUAUUUUUCUGGAGGCUCGCGAGGCAUUCGCUGCCGACCAAAGAUGUACUCAAGAGGAGAAACAUGUCACUGGCCGAUGCGUGUCCAUUGUGUGGGACAGAGGACUCGUGGAGGCAUGCUUGCAUUAGCUGCGCCAUGGCUCGAUGCAUGUGGACUCUAUCGGACGACGAAUUGGUGGAAACAAUGAUGGAAAACCGACAGCCAUCUGCAAAGCACUGGAUGUUCAACUUGCAUGAACAACUUAGUCAUGCGCAGUUCACUGAGAUGGUUAUAACGAUGUGGGCGAUAUGGUAUACGAGAAGGAAGCCGGUGCAUGAAUCGAUCUUCCAAAGCCCUCAACAAACAAAUGCAUUUGUUCUUUCUUAUUUGCAUGAUUUGUCAGUGUGUGAGUUUGAUGCAAGCGCGAGUAAAGGAGGAAGGGAACAACGCAAUACGAUGCAGCGAUCGCUACCUCCUCCUUUUAAUAAAGCUAAAUGCUGA
RNAcentral lists this ribosomal RNA (603 nucleotides) under Triticum aestivum (bread wheat). RNAcentral's name for it is "partial small subunit ribosomal RNA". Lineage: Eukaryota; Viridiplantae; Streptophyta; Magnoliopsida; Poales; Poaceae. The record is from RNAcentral.